AGGAAAUAUUACCAGCAAUUAGGCCAGCCAUUGAUAGCGUCUGAGGAAACAGCUUCAGGUGGUCUUUCUGGCAGACAAGGAUUUCACGCUUCAAGUAUCGUCGAUUUAUGCACAAAAUGAUCAUACGUCCAUGAGGCAUACUCCACAAAAUUUUAGUUUGUAAAUAUCUUAGAUGCUUUGUCACUCUUCUUCAACAAGACGUACAAAUCAGGAUCCUGAGACUCACUGCAAUUGUAGUCAGCGUUUGAGGUGACAGUAUGAACGCCAUAGCCAGCUGUCCGUACGCCUUAAACAACGAGUUCAUAAAAAUUGCGAAUGUCAAAGGCCCACCUGGCUCACAAGGGCGGUUAGUCCGCCUGACAGCUCCUCCUGCCAGCGACUAGAUGUCGCGUCUUUAUCGCGAGCACGGUGUCUAGUAAAGGAGUAAAACAAACGAACUGGAGGGGCUUCCUUGAAUCGCGUGUGAAUGAAGACUUCCCAGCAAGCCCAGAGUUCCGGUGGUAUCGUUGGGAUUGAGUCCACCUGCUAGCAGGCAUUACUGAAGAUCCUUGCCACGCCACCUCGUCUGCGUGAGCCAACGAGAUGCAGUCGCAAUGAGCACUACUUUAAGCAGCGUUGUCACAACCUAUUGGGGCAUUUUUACUAUCGAGUGCUACCCCGGAACGACUACAAGGAUUAGCCCCUCCUUCUAGAAGGAGGGAUUUCCCCUUUACCCAGUAACCCCGCCUGUUUCGCACCCAUACACCUAUGACGCCCAUGUACGCGACAUAUGUACUUAAAUGAUAACAGUUACACUGAUGAAACUCCAGGUUCAGCAAGCAAACCAUCAAGGACAAGGACAUUAUUGCCACCACCUACCAGUAACCAAUUGUAAUCAGCAUGAGGCAGACGUCAGCCAAUUUUGCCGACACAAAGCUACCGAGGAAAUGAAUGUACACGGUAAGAUGAACAGAUGUAAUGGAGCAGCUAUGGCCUAAGUAAGUUGGACCUCCACCGUCGCAGUCUUCGACUGAUGUUGGUCGGUUAGACAAACGGGCGAAUGAGCCCUUGGGACAGUUUUCAGAGCGGCGAAGUGGUGAAGACUGCGAUAACAAUCGUGGUAGCUGCACGCGAACUCUAGCUGCGAGACAGCGUUGGCCUGCGAGUGUCUUUCGAUCGUUGGCGGGAUAGCUUUUUUUUUAGUGCAACUGUUGGCGUAUGUGAAAGGGAGGACGCUAAAAUUAACAUUCCCCUUACGUUGAUGGAAAUGCGUACGGAGCCACGUUUAAGUAUGAUUUAGGAGGCAGGACGCAAUCAUGGACGCUGAAUGCUAUAAUGAGACUGGUUUCAUUUGUAUGUCGUUACGGAAGAAAUAAAAAAAAAACGGGCGCACAUGCGUCAGUCGCUCUCGCGGCGCAGGGUGUAAUAAUACGACCUUGAUACACCCAAUGCGUUAAUUUCUAACGUCAACAAAGCACGAAAGGAUCUUUCUUUGCAUUUGUCCAGGGUUAUGUUCAAAUUAUAUUAUUACUUGAUUCAUAAUCUGCCUUCAGCUGACAUAUUUUUGGAACGCAAAGUUUCCCACGUCAUAGAGGGUUGUCUUGAGGAGCGUGUAGAAUGAGCAAAAGAUGCACUAAGCGAC
This 1621-nucleotide long non-coding RNA is filed under the name Varroa destructor (honeybee mite). RNAcentral describes it as "uncharacterized LOC111251993". The record is from RNAcentral. Lineage: Eukaryota; Metazoa; Arthropoda; Arachnida; Mesostigmata; Varroidae.